RNAcentral lists this ribosomal RNA (500 nucleotides) under uncultured bacterium. RNAcentral's name for it is "partial 16S ribosomal RNA". It matches the Rfam family "Bacterial small subunit ribosomal RNA", at positions 29 to 523 of the family's 1533-position model. The record is from RNAcentral.
AUUGAACGCUGGCGGCAUGCCUUACACAUGCAAGUCGAACGGCAGCACGGGGGCAACCCUGGUGGCGAGUGGCGAACGGGUGAGUAAUACAUCGGAACGUGUCCUUUCGUGGGGGAUAACCAGUCGAAAGACUGGCUAAUACCGCAUGAGAUCUCACGAUGAAAGCGAGGGACCGCAAGGCCUCGCGCGAUUGGAGCGGCCGAUGUCGGAUUAGCUAGUUGGCGGGGUAAAAGCCCACCAAGGCGACGAUCCGUAGCUGGCUUGAGAGAACGACCAGCCACACGGGGACUGGGACACGGCACAGACUCCUACGGGAGGCAGCAGUGGGGAAUUUUGGACAAUGGCGGCAACCCUGAUCCAGCCAUGCCGCGUGUGUGAAGAAGGCCUUCGGGUUGUAAAGCACUUUCGGACGGAACGAAAUCGCCCGUGUUAACAGCGCGGGUGGAUGACGGUACCGUAAGAAGAAGCACCGGCUAACUACGUGCCAGCAGCCGCAGUAA